GUCCACGCCGUAAACGAUGAGUGCUAGGUGUUGGAUCCUUUCCGGGAUUCAGUGCCGCAGCUAACGCAUUAAGCACUCCGCCUGGGGAGUACGACCGCAAGGUUGAAACUCAAAGGAAUUGACGGGGGCCCGCACAAGCGGUGGAGCAUGUGGUUUAAUUCGAAGCAACGCGAAGAACCUUACCAGGUCUUGACAUCCCGAUGCUAUUUCUAGAGAUAGAAAGUUACUUCGGUACAUCGGUGACAGGUGGUGCAUGGUUGUCGU
This 264-nucleotide ribosomal RNA is filed under the name uncultured bacterium. Its description in RNAcentral is "partial 16S ribosomal RNA". It matches the Rfam family "Bacterial small subunit ribosomal RNA", at positions 793 to 1055 of the family's 1533-position model. The record is from RNAcentral.